GACGAACGCUGGCGGCGUGCUUAACACAUGCAAGUCGAACGGACAGGCCCUGCUUUUGUGGGGUGCUCGAGUGGCGAACGCGUGUGUAACACGUGUGUAACCUGCCCUUGACUUUGGGAUAACUUCUGGAAACUGGGGCUCAUACCCGGUAGGAGCUCCUGCUGCAUGGUGGGGGUUGGAAAGUUUCGGCGGUUGGGGCUAGUCUCGCGGGUUAACAGCUUGUUGGUCGGGUAGUGGCUUACCAAGGCUUCGACGGGUAGCCGGCCUGAGAGGGUGACCGGCGACAAUAGGACUAAGAGACGGACCAGACGCGAACCGGACGCAGCAGGCGGGAGCAUUACACAGUAGGCGGAAGCCUGAUGCAGCGGCGUCGCGUGCGGGAUAACGGCCUACGAGGUGUAAACCACUGUCGCCGGAGACGAAGCGUGAGUGACGGUAAUGGGUAAAGAAGCACCGGCUAACUACGUG
RNAcentral lists this ribosomal RNA (468 nucleotides) under uncultured bacterium. RNAcentral describes it as "partial 16S ribosomal RNA". It matches the Rfam family "Bacterial small subunit ribosomal RNA", at positions 28 to 507 of the family's 1533-position model. The record is from RNAcentral.